This 607-nucleotide ribosomal RNA is filed under the name Favolus tenuiculus. RNAcentral describes it as "eukaryotic LSU rRNA". The stretch from base 209 to 362 matches the Rfam family "5.8S ribosomal RNA". Lineage: Eukaryota; Fungi; Basidiomycota; Agaricomycetes; Polyporales; Polyporaceae. The record is from RNAcentral.
UUAUCGAGUUCUUGAAACGGGUUGUAGCUGGCCUUACGAAGGCAUGUGCACGCCCUGCUCAAUCCACUCUACACCUGUGCACUUACUGUGGGUCUUCGAGCAAUGGGGGUUUAUAAUUUCUUAUAAGCCUUCGUUUGAAGCCCACGUUUACACACAAACACUUAUAAAGUAAAAGAACGUGUAUUGCGAUGUAACGCAUCCAUAAUACAACUUUCAGCAACGGAUCUCUUGGCUCUCGCAUCGAUGAAGAACGCAGCGAAAUGCGAUAAGUAAUGUGAAUUGCAGAAUUCAGUGAAUCAUCGAAUCUUUGAACGCACCUUGCGCUCCUUGGUAUUCCGAGGAGCACGCCUGUUUGAGUGUCGUGUAAUUCUCAAACUUACCCGUCUUUGCGGAUGGUGUAAGGCUUGGAUGUUGGAGGUCUAUUGUCGGUUUGUAACGAACCGGCUCCUCUUAAAUGCAUUAGCUCAGUCCUUUGUGGAUCGGCUCCCAGUGUGAUAAUUAUCUGCGCUGCGACCGUGAAGCGUUUUAUUAUGGCGAGCUUCUAAUGGUCUCUUCAAUGAGACAAGUAACACUUUGACAAUCUGACCUCAAAUCAGGCGGGACUACC